GCAGUAUUUAGUCAACAACACUGAGCUCAGCGUGUCAGGAGUGAGUCUAGCAGUAAAGGACAACAAUGGCACCUUCGUCAGUACUCUAAGCAUGGGUCUUUACAGUACUGCCGACUAUACAACCAAACUCCAGAUACCAGGAUCUGGGCUGCAGUUGAAAACUCGCAUAUAUGUGCAGGUCAAGGCAACAAAUCUCACAA
Molecule: long non-coding RNA, 200 nt
Organism: Sinocyclocheilus rhinocerous
Lineage: Eukaryota; Metazoa; Chordata; Actinopteri; Cypriniformes; Cyprinidae
Exons: 3
Source: RefSeq, a predicted model, not a curated record